GUUUUUAUAGCUUAAGUUUAAAGAGCAUAGUUUUGAAGAAACUAAGGUAAAUUAAAUUUUUAUAAACA
RNAcentral lists this transfer RNA (68 nucleotides) under Anoplodactylus australis. Its description in RNAcentral is "tRNA-Phe". The record is from RNAcentral. Lineage: Eukaryota; Metazoa; Arthropoda; Pycnogonida; Pantopoda; Phoxichilidiidae.